CUGGGUACUUCUGUGAUAUAUUAUAAAUACCAGAGAAGGCCUGAGCGAAUGUGGCGGGGGAGUGAGGUGAGGAGAGGGCUGGGAGUAGGUCUUUCCAAACACACUUGUUAGACACGUCUGGCAAAAGGAAAAUGUAUAGUGCAAAAAUAAAAAAGGUCUUCGAGCAAUGGUUAAGACUAGAGAUUGGAAAGAAAAGUCAUGGCUGGGAAGUUGUGUGGCAGGGAAGGGGAAGAGGGAGUCGGGGGUGGGUUGUGGAAUGGAAGGGGAGGCUUCGAAAACUUCAAACAUUUAUUUUUGCCUCUGUGUUAGCAAGGAGAUCUUGGCUCUAACAGGUGUAUUUUUUCCUCCCUGGAAUGAAACAGAAGUGAAAAAAUAAGAAAAUUAAACUAAGUCUGGGUUCUGAUAGGCAAUGCAUGCUGGGAAGAUAAAACAUAAAUGGUUGAGAACCAGCCAAUGAGCCCCCAAGCCUUCAGGAUCUAGAUGUGCAGAAAUCCUCUGCCUCCAGUCUGAAGACCUAGGAUUAAAAUGUCCCCUCUCCCCACCCACUGCCCCUCCCCUCUAUGUGGAACUAACUCCCAGUGUGGUUUUGAUAUACUGGCAAUUAUAAGCAUCCAUCCCCCCCAAAAGAUAUUAGGCACUGGUGGCUACUCCUCCGAAAUGUCAGUAGCCUGUUUUCCUUCUGCGAAGGUACAAUAGGUACAUACGCACACAUGUCUAGGUGUGUGUGUACACACCACCCUUAUUAUUCUGACGUGGGGUCCUUUUUAUGGCAGUAGACAGAAGCUGGAGUCAAAGCAAUUUAUGAUUCCAAAGCUCACAGUUGAAAAAAAAUAGUAUAAACAGUCCCCAAACCAAGACCGCAUCAACCUUCCCUCAUGACCACUGAGAGGAAGCCCUGUUUGAAAAGAGUAUCUUGUUUGGGAAAUUGGUGAAGUGAUGGCCUAAGAUUUCUCUCUCAUUUUUGAUAGCUGUUUCCUGGAGGGCUUAAGAUGUAAAUGCAGGACACCUGAAGAAUACAGUAGUAUAUUUUAAGGAUGCAAUGCAUGUAAGAAAGUUAAUUGCAGCUUUGUCCCAUUUCUGGGAUCUAUUAUAGGAACUGAGAGAGGAGACUUAAGAGAGUGUUAAAAGCAAGAGAAAACCCUGGAGCCUCAGGCAGUUAGUCAUGAGAUAUCACAUUAUUUACAAAUGGUUUUUGCUUCCUUUGACACAUUUCUGUUGUCCCAUCUCAAGUAUUUCCAAAGACCCUCCACAAGGAAAAUAGGCCCUCAGAAAGGCAUUGAUGUAUCCUCAGGCCAGGCCCUCUGGUUUCCAAGCUGAGAAAUCACCAUGUUUACCGAAAUUUAAUCCAGACACCCAGAAUCCAAUCCUCCCCUCCGAGCCCUGUCUCCUGCCAGUUCCAGAAAAUGGGUGGGAAAGCACCCACAAAUCAACUUCAACCAGGUCCUACUUACUGAAUUUCCACUUUAACAAUGGUCAGGGUGCAAACUUGAGGCCAGAAAUGCUGGCCCUCCUACGAAUUUUUUUUAAAGAAAGAAACAGGAAGCCUGAUUCCUAUAAUCCAAUGGUUUGCUUCUUUCUGAAUUUCCCUGCUUUCUUCCUUCUCCAAAGAAACUCGGGCAAAAGACAAAAGCAUCUUCCCACUAUACAGUGUUUUACAUUUUAUAAAGUGAUUCCCGAAGAGGAAAUCAUUUUGAACCAUAAUCACUGGGUUUUGUUGUUCUUGCAAUCUGAGUUUCCUUCUUUUGGCUUUCCCAUAGAACGCAGGAGUGAAGGCUGUGGGUAGAAUGUUCUGAAAGUGCUGGAUGAGCCACCCAAAAGACCCCGUUUAUUUCCCCUUUGAUGCAGCUAGACACGGAUAAUCUGGAAACUUAUCCCAAACUACAGUCCGUUAAAAAUCUUCUCUGGCUUCAAAGAAGAUUUCUUAAAACUAGGAAUCCGUUCUGCUCAUCACGCAUGAGGUUGGCUGUCUUUUUACCCUGUUAUAAUCAGGCAAUCGAAGAUGCAAAGGGCACAGGAGGUGUGGGUGGGAGGACAUGGCAUCAAGAGAAGGGGUAUUUCAAGGGCUUUGCAGGGAAAACACAGAGAGAGGAGAAAGAAAUGGUCAGCAUGAAGGUCGUUUGGGGGUCUCCAAUAUUUUUACAAAAUGCAGCUUUGUCGUGGAAUCCAAACAUUUCUUCUUCUGGACAUAAAAUACUCAUCACCACCAGCCAUAAGCUGGGCCAGUGAACCAACAGUGGGGCAGGAGGCCAGUAGCUAGGAGCAGCAUUGUAAUUCAGGAUUCCACAUCUCUGGUUUGCAGCCAUGUGGCAGGAGAGAGAAGCAUAACUUGAAAUAAAGAAAAGCGUCAGUGGCUUAGAAACACUUUUUCUGCCCAUCCAACUCUGAACCCUGGAUAGAGUGUGCUUGAGAGGACAACUGCAAGAAACACCAUGCCAGCUUUUUCCUUCAAACCUGGGAUGCCCUGGAAUGUCAGGAGGUAACAGUUUAAAUGAGAAAGGGGUUUCCAGUGUUUCAAACGUCCCCUCAAGCACUGCUUAAAAUAACCAGUCCUCUCCGAGCCAAGUGCACUCAGGUUAUUUCUUGGAAAACCUGUGCACAUCAGAGUUGACGAACAAUUUAUCAAAACUCCAUUUCCAAAAUGAUCAGGGCCACCCUCACCCCCACCACGGUCUGGACUGGUUAUUAUUCACAGGUGUCAAUCUAGGCUAGAGAACAGUUUCAAAGCCACUUAGCACCCACUGAAUUCUCAGGCCAAUUCUCACAGUCAA
Long non-coding RNA from Heterocephalus glaber (naked mole-rat), 2768 nucleotides. NCBI's taxonomy places the organism in Eukaryota, Metazoa, Chordata, Mammalia, Rodentia, Bathyergidae. The record is from Ensembl.